ACAGGUGCUGCAUGGCUGUCGUCAGCUCGUGUCGUGAGAUGUUGGGUUAAGUCCCGCAACGAGCGCAACCCUUGCCUUUAGUUGCCAGCAGUUCGGCUGGGCACUCUAAAGGGACUGCCGGUGUUAAACCGGAGGAAGGUGGGGAUGACGUCAAGUCCUCAUGGCCUUUAUGACCAGGGCUACACACGUACUACAAUGGCCGAUACAAAGGGCAGCGACACUGCGAGGUGAAGCCAAUCCCGUAAAAUCGGUCUCAGUCCGGAUUGGAGUCUGCAACUCGACUCCAUGAAGUUGGAAUUGCUAGUAAUCGUGGAUCAGCAUGCCACGGUGAAUACGUUCCCGGGCCUU
Molecule: ribosomal RNA, 348 nt
Filed under: uncultured Desulfobulbus sp.
Lineage: Bacteria; Pseudomonadati; Thermodesulfobacteriota; Desulfobulbia; Desulfobulbales; Desulfobulbaceae
Description: bacterial SSU rRNA
Rfam family: Bacterial small subunit ribosomal RNA
Source: RNAcentral